UUAGCGCCGGCUAACUCUGUGCCAGCAGCCGCGGUAAUACAGAGGGUGCAAGCGUUAAUCGGAUUUACUGGGCGUAAAGCGCGCGUAGGCGGCUAAUUAAGUUAAAUGUGAAAUCCCCGAGCUUAACUUGGGAAUUGCAUUCGAUACUGGUUAGCUAGAGUGUGGGAGAGGAUGGUAGAAUUCCAGGUGUAGCGGUGAAAUGCGUAGAGAUCUGGAGGAAUACCGAUGGCGAAGGCAGCCAUCUGGCCUAACACUGACGCUGAGGUGCGAAAGCAUGGGGAGCAAACAGGAUUAGAUACCCUGGUAGUCCAUGCCGUAAACGAUGUCUACUAGCCGUUGGGGCCUUUGAGGCUUUAGUGGCGCAGCUAACGCGAUAAGUAGACCGCCUGGGGAGUACGGUCGCAAGACUAAAACUCAAAUGAAUUGACGGGGGCCCGCACAAGCGGUGGAGCAUGUGGUUUAAUUCGAUGCAACGCGAAGAACCUUACCUGGCCUUGACAUACUAGAAACUUUCCAGAGAUGGAUUGGUGCCUUCGGGGAAUCUAGAUACAGGUGCUGGAUUGGUUGUCGUCAGCUCGUGUCGUGAGAUGUC
This 592-nucleotide ribosomal RNA is filed under the name uncultured bacterium. Its description in RNAcentral is "bacterial SSU rRNA". It matches the Rfam family "Bacterial small subunit ribosomal RNA", at positions 487 to 1076 of the family's 1533-position model. The record is from RNAcentral.